This is a long non-coding RNA of Carassius carassius (crucian carp), 672 nucleotides long. RefSeq lists it as uncharacterized. The transcript has 2 exons. The record is from RefSeq and is a predicted model, not a curated record. Lineage: Eukaryota; Metazoa; Chordata; Actinopteri; Cypriniformes; Cyprinidae.
CAAUAGUCCAUGAUGUGUUGCUGUCUAUGUAGGAUCAAAAAGUUAUCAGAUUUAACCAAAAAUAUCUUAAUUUGUGUGAACGAAAUGUCUUCAGAAUUUUCAUUUUUGAGUGAACCAUCUUUUUAAACAUCAACAAGCUGAACAGAUAAACACAUCUACUCACUUUUACAAUGUUUAAAACUGCAUUCUUGCAAACUAUUCUAAAUCAAGCUUUCGCAAAAGACUGGAAGAGUUGUCAAAAAUUCUCCAAUGGGAAAAUAUAAUUGGGUUUUCAGAGGGAACCAAGGUGAUGCUAACUUUGGGUUUGCUUACAAAAAUACAUAAAAACAGCAGCACUCUAUUAUUUCUGGUUUAAUUCUCACAAAGGAAAUGAUAGGUAAAGUUAGGUGCAUUGCGGUGGGGCAUGUUAUACUGUAGUAUGUUUGCAAGUGUAAUAGUAAUCCAUUUUAUUUAUUAAAGUUAAAGUAUACUGUGCACACUGCAUACUACAGAAAAAGUAGUAUGAUAGCAUGUUAUUCUAAUUGAAGCCUGUGACUCUGUGUUGCUAAUGACAUAUUGCUGUCAAUCUGAGUGGCCUAAUAUUAUAACAUUGAUUUAAACAACAUCAUGGACUUCCUUAAUUACAUUUUGCAAUUCUGUUUGGUGCCACUAGUGGUGCAGAAAUACUAAAAA